RNAcentral lists this ribosomal RNA (348 nucleotides) under uncultured bacterium. RNAcentral's name for it is "bacterial SSU rRNA". It matches the Rfam family "Bacterial small subunit ribosomal RNA", at positions 29 to 381 of the family's 1533-position model. The record is from RNAcentral.
AACGAACGCUGGCGGCAUGCUUUACACAUGCAAGUCGAACGGUAGAGGGGGCAACCCCCUUGGAGAGUGGCGAACGGGUGAGUAAUAUAUCGGAACGUGCCCAGUCGUGGGGAUAACGUAGCGAAAGCUACGCUAAUACCGCAUACGAUCUAUGGAUGAAAGCGGGGGAUCGCAAGACCUCGCGCGAUUGGAGCGGCCGAUAUCAGAUUAGGUAGUUGGUGAGGUAAAGGCUCACCAAGCCGACGAUCUGUAGCUGGUCUGAGAGGACGACCAGCCACACUGGGACUGAGACACGGUCCAGACUCCUACGGGAGGCAGCAGUGGGGAAUAUUGGACAAUGGGCGCAAG